UGAUAGGCUAGGCUACACAUGCGAGUCGAGCGGCAUGAAGGGAGCUUGCUCCUGGAUUCAGCGGCGGACGGGUGAGUAAUGCCUAGGAAUCUGCCCGGGAUUGGUCUCUAACGUCUGGAAACGGGCGCUAAUACCGCAUACGUCCUGAGGUAGAAAGUGGUGUUACUUCGCACCUCACCCUAUCAAAUGAGCCUAGGUCGGAUUAGCUAGUUGGUGGGGUAAAGGCCUACCCAGGCGACGAUCCGUAUCUGGUCUGUGACUAAGCCGAGUCCCACUGUAACUGAGACAGGGCCCAGACUAAUACUAAAGCUUGCAUUGGUUAAUAUUGCACAAUGCGCGAAAGCCUGAGCCGGGUCCAACUCCUACGUUAAGAAGGUCUUCGGAUUGUAAAGCACUUUACGUUGGGAGGAAGGACAGUAAGUUAAUACCUUGCUGUUUUGGCGUUACCAACAGAAUAAGCACCGGCUAACUUCGUGUCAGCGGCCGCGGCAAUACGAAGGCUGCAAGCGUUAAUCGGAAUCACUGGGCGUAAACAACGCGUAGGUGGUUCAGCACGUUGAAUGUGAAAUCCCCGGCCUCGACCUGGGAACUGCAUCCGAAACUACUGAGCUAGGAUAAGACUGUGGGAGAGGGAAUCUCCUGUGUAGCGGUGAAAUGCGUAUAUAUAGAGAGGAACACCAACGUCGAUGGCGACCACCUGGACCGAUACCGACACUGAGGUGCAAAAGCGUGAGCAGCAAACAGGAUUAGAUCCCCUAGUAGUCCACGCCGUAAACGAUGUCGACUAGCCGUUGGGAUCCUUGAGAUCUUAGUGGCACAGCUAACGCGAUAUGUCGCGCGCGUGGAGAGUGCGGGCACAAGGUUAACUCUCAGAUAUAUUGACGGGGGCCCGCACACGCGGUAGAGCAUGUGGUUUAAUUAGAAGCAACGCGAAGAACCUUACCUGCUCUUGACAUGGUGAGAACUUUCCAGAGAUGGAUUGGUGCUUUCGAGAUCUCAGACACAGGUGCCACAUGGCUGUCGUCAGCUCGUGUCGUGAGAUGUUGGGUUAAGUCCCGUAACGAGCGCAACCCUUGUCCUUAGUUACCAGCACCUCGGGUGGGCCCUUUAAGGAGACUCCCGGUGCCAACCCGGAGGAAGGUGGGGAUGACUUCAAUUCAUCAUGGCCCUUACGGCCAGGGUUACACACGUGCUACAAUGUUCGGUCCAAAGGGUUCACAAGCCGCGAGGUGGAGCUAAUCCCAUAAACCCGAUCGUAGUCCGGAUCGCAGUUAGCUAUUCUAUUUCGCUAAGUCAGUAACUCUAAUAUUGGUAAAUAUUGAUCCUGCCUCACUCAUUUAUUCCUACCUAGUUAUAUUUUCUCCCUCCCUCAGUCAUUUGGAGCUAGCUAGAUAUAGUCGUGCCUCAGUAAGUCGGACAAGAAGCAGAGUGCAAG
RNAcentral lists this ribosomal RNA (1435 nucleotides) under Pseudomonas sp. PNP1. Its description in RNAcentral is "partial 16S ribosomal RNA". It matches the Rfam family "Bacterial small subunit ribosomal RNA". Lineage: Bacteria; Pseudomonadati; Pseudomonadota; Gammaproteobacteria; Pseudomonadales; Pseudomonadaceae. The record is from RNAcentral.